AUGAACGCUGGCGGCGUGCUUAACACAUGCAAGUCGAACGAUGAAGCCCAGCUUGCUGGGUGGAUUAGUGGCGAACGGGUGAGUAACACGUGAGCAACCUGCCCCUGACUCUGGGAUAAGCGCUGGAAACGGCGUCUAAUACUGGAUACGAACAAGAAUCGCAUGGUUACUUGUUGGAAAGAUUUUUCGGUUGGGGAUGGGCUCGCGGCCUAUCAGCUUGUUGGUGAGGUAAUGGCUCACCAAGGCGUCGACGGGUAGCCGGCCUGGGAGGGUGACCGGCCACACUGGGACUGAGACACGGCCCAGACUCCUACGGGAGGCAGCAGUGGGGAAUAUUGCACAAUGGGCGCAAGCCUGAUGCAGCAACGCCGCGUGAGGGAUGACGGCCUUCGGGUUGUAAACCUCUUUUAGCAGGGAAGAAGCGAGAGUGACGGUACCUGCAGAAAAAGCACCGGCUAACUACGU
Molecule: ribosomal RNA, 465 nt
Filed under: uncultured bacterium
Lineage: Bacteria
Description: bacterial SSU rRNA
Rfam family: Bacterial small subunit ribosomal RNA
Source: RNAcentral